This is a non-coding RNA of Artibeus jamaicensis (Jamaican fruit-eating bat), 496 nucleotides long. NCBI's taxonomy places the organism in Eukaryota, Metazoa, Chordata, Mammalia, Chiroptera, Phyllostomidae. The record is from the annotation of a RefSeq genome assembly.
GGCAGCCCCUUGUCUGUGAUCAGGGAGGGGAUAAGAGAGGCCUGGGCAGUCCAGCCCCAGCUCUGUGGCCUGAGAACAGCCUGUGCUCACCAUGGCCUGGACCCCUCUGCUCCUUGCGCUCCUCUCUCACUGCACAGGUUCCCUCUCCCAGCCUGUGCUGACUCAGCCGCCCUCUGUGUCUGCAUCUCCUGGAGCCACUGCCAGACUCACCUGCACCCUCAGCAGAGACCUCAGUGUUGGUAGUAAAUACAUGUACUGGUACCAGCAGAAGCCAGGGAGCGCUCCCAGGUUUUUCUUGUACUACUACUCAGACUCGAACAGCAAGCUGGGACCUGGGGUCCCCAGUCGGGUCUCUGGAUCCAAAGACACCUCAGCCAACGCUGCACAUCUGGUCAUCUCGGGGCUGCAGCCUGAGGACGAGGCCGACUAUUACUGUCAGGUGUAUGAAAGCAGCACUUUCCACAGUGACAGAGACACAUGAGGAAGUGUGACAGAA